This 499-nucleotide ribosomal RNA is filed under the name uncultured bacterium. RNAcentral describes it as "partial 16S ribosomal RNA". It matches the Rfam family "Bacterial small subunit ribosomal RNA", at positions 28 to 507 of the family's 1533-position model. The record is from RNAcentral.
GACGAACGCUGGCGGCGUGCUUAACACAUGCAAGUCGAACGGGCCCGCCCCUGUUUUUGGGGGUGGGUUGAGUGGCGAACGGGUGAGUAUCACGUGAGUAACCUGCCCCCUGCUCCUGGAUAACUGCUUGAAAGGGCGGCUAAUACGGGGUGUGCCGGCUGGUCCGCAUGGGCCUGGUCGGGAUAGUUUCAUCUUCGGGUGUUUCGGUGGGGGAUGGGCUCGCGGCCUAUCAGCUUGUUGGUGGGGUGAUGGCCCACCAAGGCGGUGACGGGUAGCCGGCUUGGGAGGGUGGGCGGCCACAGUGGGACGGAGACCCGGCCCAGACUCCUGCGGGAGGCAGCAGUGGGGGGUAUUGCACAAGGGGCGGAAGCCUGAUGCAGCGACGUCGCGUGAGGGAUGGAGGCCUUCGGGUUGUGAACCUCUUUCUCCGGUGGUGAAGGCCCUGUCCGUUGCGGCGGGGUUGACGGUAGCCGGGUAUGAAGCGCCGGCUAACUACGUG